This 937-nucleotide ribosomal RNA is filed under the name uncultured bacterium. Its description in RNAcentral is "bacterial SSU rRNA". It matches the Rfam family "Bacterial small subunit ribosomal RNA", at positions 75 to 996 of the family's 1533-position model. The record is from RNAcentral.
GGGGGCAACCCUGGCGACGAGCGGCGGACGGGUGAGUAACGCUUAGGAAUCUUCCCAGUAGUGGGGAACAACCCGGGGAAACUCGGGCUAAUACCGCAUACGUCCAUCUUCGAAAGAGGAUGGAGAAAGCGGGGGACCGCAAGGCCUCGCGCUAUUGGAUGAGCCUAAGUCGGAUUAGCUAGUUGGUAGGGUAACGGCCUACCAAGGCGACGAUCCGUAGCUGGUCUGAGAGGACGACCAGCCACACUGGGACUGAGACACGGCCCAGACUCCUACGGGAGGCAGCAGUGGGGAAUAUUGGACAAUGGGGGCAACCCUGAUCCAGCGACGCCGCGUGUGUGAAGAAGGCCUGCGGGUUGUAAAGCACUUUUAGUGGGGAUGAAAAGCACCAGGCUAAUACCCGGGUGUCUUGACCUAACCCAAAGAAAAAGCACCGGCUAACUCUGUGCCAGCAGCCGCGGUAAUACAGAGGGUGCGAGCGUUAAUCGGAAUUACUGGGCGUAAAGCGCACGUAGACGGUUCUGUAAGUCGGAUGUGAAAGCCCCGGGCUUAACCUGGGAACGGCAUUCGAGACUGCAUUACUGGAGUAUGGGAGAGGGCAGUGGAAUUUCCGGUGUAGCGGUGAAAUGCGUAGAUAUCGGAAGGAACAUCAGUGGCGAAAGCGACUGCCUGGCCCAAUACUGACGUUCAUGUGCGAAAGCGUGGGGAGCAAACAGGAUUAGAUACCCUGGUAGUCCACGCCAUAAACGAUGAGAACUAGAUGUCGAGAGGGUUAGCCUCACGGUGUCGCAGCUAACGCGUUAAGUUCUCCGCCUGGGGAGUACGGCCGCAAGGUUGAAGCUCAAAGGAAUUGACGGGGACCCGCACAAGCGGUGGAGCAUGUGGUUCAAUUCGAUGCAACGCGAAGAACCUUACCUGGCCUUGACAUCCUCGGAAC